AGCGGCGAACGGGUGAGUAAUGCUUCGGAAUCUGCCCAAUGGUGGGGAAUAACCAGCCGAAAGGUUGGCUAAUACCGCAUACGCUACGGGAAAGCGGCGCCGAUGGAUGAGCCGAAGUCGGAUUAGCUAGUUGGUAGGGUAACGGCCUACCAAGGCGACGAUCCGUAGCUGGUCUGAGAGGACGACCAGCCACACUGGGACUGAGACACGGCCCAGACUCCUACGGGAGGCAGCAGUGGGGAAUAUUGGACAAUGGGGGAAACCCUGAUCCAGCGACGCCGCGUGUGUGAAGAAGGCCUGCGGGUUGUAAAGCACUUUUAGUGGGGAUGAAUGACCUAACCCAAAGAAAAAGCACCGGCUAACUCUGUG
This 369-nucleotide ribosomal RNA is filed under the name uncultured soil bacterium. Its description in RNAcentral is "bacterial SSU rRNA". It matches the Rfam family "Bacterial small subunit ribosomal RNA", at positions 94 to 507 of the family's 1533-position model. The record is from RNAcentral.